AAGAAGCAGGGUAGGGUUCGAGCGGUGGCGCUGCUUACCACCCCUUCAUCGCGCCUACACGCUGGGUUGCAUUUCUCCAGCAUAAACAACUGUAUACUAGCGUUCGCUAAUGGUGGAUGGUGGAGGUGGUGUUCCUGUCGCAUUUGUGAUUUCACUCUAAAUAGGAAGGAAUCGGCGCUGGAUUGUUACUCAAUAUUUCAUUUGCAGCUGUUGCACCAGUGAAGGAUGUCUGUGUGCCGCCUUGCAUUCAGUUUCUCAGCCAUGGGGGCCUGCUUGCAACACCAGUGGCAAAGCAGUCUUGCAUUGUGCUAUUUGUUCUGGAAGGACACAAGCAUUGAGGAGCAAUUUGACCUGGCACCACACUGAUACUGUAUUUGGUAGGUUCUAUUACAGGUUUUCUUGCGUGUAGUAGUACCUGCUAUAAUUGUGUAUAAUGUGUUCAGACCUUUAGUCAGCAGGCUGUUUGACAACAGGUGUUUACAAAUGAAUAACUAACAAGAUUUUCAAGCUCAUUAGUGAUACAAUUGUUGCACACUGCUGCAUUUUUCUGCAAAUUAAAUGAUGAGCCAUCCAGCAAGUGCUGCUCUCCUGCCUUAAUGCACAAACCUUCAAAUAGUGUUAACCCUAUCUCACAAGUGUACAGCAGAUGGAGAUGACUGUUCACAGCGAUAAGUUCAUAAUUUCUACUUACAUGCAAAAGUGAGUCAAAUGUCAGGUACACAUUUGAAGUUUUCCAAAACAAGUUCAUCAUCAUAG
Dermacentor silvarum is the source of this 756-nucleotide long non-coding RNA. RefSeq lists it as uncharacterized. The transcript is spliced from 3 exons. NCBI's taxonomy places the organism in Eukaryota, Metazoa, Arthropoda, Arachnida, Ixodida, Ixodidae. The record is from RefSeq and is a predicted model, not a curated record.